GACGAACGCUGGCGGCGUGCCUAAUACAUGCAAGUUGAGCGAUGAAGCUUGGUGCUUGCACCCAUUUGAAGAGCAGCGAACGGGUGAGUAACGCGUGGGGAAUCUGCCUUUGAUCGGGGGACAACAUUUGGAAACGAAUGCUAAUACCGCAUAACAACUUUAAACAUAAGUUUUAAGUUUGAAAGAUGCAAUUGCAUCACUCAAAGAUGAUCCCGCGUUGUAUUAGCUAGUUGGUGAGGUAAAGGCUCACCAAGGCGAUGAUACAUAGCCGACCUGAGAGGGUGAUCGGCCAAAUUGGGACUGAGACAAGGCCCAAACUCCUAAGGGAGGCAGCAGUAGGGGAUCUUCGGACAUGGACGAAAGUCUGGCCGAGCAACGCCGCGUGAGUGAAGAAGGUUUUCGGAUCGUAAAACUCUGUUGGUAGAGAAGAACGUUGGUGAGAGUGGAAAGCUCAUCAAGUGACGGUAACUACCCAGAAAGGGACGGCUAACUACGUG
RNAcentral lists this ribosomal RNA (497 nucleotides) under uncultured bacterium. Its description in RNAcentral is "partial 16S ribosomal RNA". It matches the Rfam family "Bacterial small subunit ribosomal RNA", at positions 28 to 507 of the family's 1533-position model. The record is from RNAcentral.